RNAcentral lists this ribosomal RNA (444 nucleotides) under uncultured bacterium. Its description in RNAcentral is "partial 16S ribosomal RNA". It matches the Rfam family "Bacterial small subunit ribosomal RNA", at positions 331 to 792 of the family's 1533-position model. The record is from RNAcentral.
CCAGACUCCUACGGGAGGCAGCAGUGGGGAAUAUUGCACAAUGGGGGAAACCCUGAUGCAGCGACGCCGCGUGAGCGAUGAAGUAUUUCGGUAUGUAAAGCUCUAUCAGUAGGGAAGAAAAUGACGGUACCUGACUAAGAAGCCCCGGCUAACUACGUGCCAGCAGCCGCGGUAAUACGUAGGGGGCAAGCGUUAUCCGGAUUUACUGGGUGUAAAGGGAGCGUAGACGGCGGUGCAAGCCAGAUGUGAAAGCCCGGGGCUCAACCCCGGGACUGCAUUUGGAACUGUGCUGCUAGAGUGUCGGAGAGGCAGGCGGAAUUCCUGGUGUAGCGGUGAAAUGCGUAGAUAUCAGGAGGAACACCGGCGGCGAAGGCGGCCUGCUGGACCGUGACUGACGUUGAGGCUCGAGAGCGUGGGGAGCAGACAGGAUUAGAUACCCUCGUA